This is a long non-coding RNA of Passer montanus (Eurasian tree sparrow), 1244 nucleotides long. RefSeq lists it as uncharacterized. The transcript is spliced from 3 exons. NCBI's taxonomy places the organism in Eukaryota, Metazoa, Chordata, Aves, Passeriformes, Passeridae. The record is from RefSeq and is a predicted model, not a curated record.
AGCAGCUCUAAUGCAACACCUGCUAAUCACUGGCCCCGGGGCGAGACAGGCAUGUGGAGCUGCCCUGGCAGAGUGGGUUCUCAGAGGUAACGCUGGAAGACAAACCAUUUUCCAAUGUCACAUUUUCAAACGGAACCAACAGGAUGAGGCAGAGCAGCUGUGGCAUUUGUCAUGUGGGACACUUGGGACCUUGAAGAUGCUGGCAGAGGCAAGGCAGAGAGGACAGGAGUUUUGCAGGGGAAAAUGAGACAAAAUGAUUUAGUGACUUACCAUCUUGAAAAAGCUCUGUAAGAAACUCCAGUUAUUUGCUAAAUUAGAGAUGGAAAAACAACAUAGAUUCCCUAAAGGCAACAAUCCAGGAUGUGUCCCACACUGUAGAUUGGGUCGUUCCCGGGCAGUAAAUUUAAAAGGCAGACUUCAUUGCCACUCUUCUCCAUGGAUGCUUUUUCACCAAAUCUCACUCUGACUUGUGUAGGCUACUGACAGAGAUGUGACAUUUACCAUUGUCCAGACCUCAUUGCCUGAAAUUGUCCAAGUGUCUCAAAUCUCCUCUUUUUUAUCUCAUCGUGUAUCCCUGUUGGGUCAACAGCUUCCUUGGAGAAGAAGCUAUAAAAAUACCAUCUCCUUUCUAAGGUUAUGUCUUCCACCUGUCAUCUACUCCUUCUCUAAAUCCUUGGAAGUCAGGACCAGUAUUUUUGGCUGUCGUGGCAGCAGACAAGACCCGUGACACCAUCACACGUCUCAUCUGAAGGUGAGAGCUGACGAGGGCUGGGCAAAUGCCAGUGAUGGAACCAAGGCUGGCUUGGCCCCAGCUGAUCUGCCUCUCCCAGAUGGCCAUGGAUGACCACGUCUGCCCAUCACCUGGCAGCCCUGCCGAGUGGAAGACCAGAUGGGUGUUUGGCUGGAUUUCCAAGCAAGCCACAGCCCCAGGGUUGCUGCAGGACACGCCAGGCAUUCACACCUUGGAGAAGGAGCCAGCUGGCACCCGCUCACCUCCAGCGCCUGCACACCUGGGUGGAACUGGGCAUAAGGUACGGCUGGCUGGCUGCUGAAACUGUGCCCAGAAAUAGAAGAAAUUCCUGUCCUCUGCCCUCCAGACUCUCACCUUGAGCUGUGCUGGAUGCCUGCUAGGUCCAGAGGAGGAUCCUGCUACAGAAAGGGGGCUGCCAGAAUGCCAGGCAGAGGAGCACCACGUAGGAGCUACGUGAAAGAGAUGACAGAUUAUUUGCUCAGGUAUCACUCCC